This 519-nucleotide ribosomal RNA is filed under the name uncultured Sphingomonas sp. RNAcentral describes it as "bacterial SSU rRNA". It matches the Rfam family "Bacterial small subunit ribosomal RNA", at positions 29 to 590 of the family's 1533-position model. The record is from RNAcentral. Lineage: Bacteria; Pseudomonadati; Pseudomonadota; Alphaproteobacteria; Sphingomonadales; Sphingomonadaceae.
ACGAACGCUGGCGGCAUGCCUACUACAUGUUAGUCGAACGAGAUCUUCGGACUCUAGUGGCGCACGGGUGCGUAACGCGUGGGAAUCUGCCCUUGGGUUCGGAAUAACUUCUGGAAACGGAAGCUAAUACCGGAUGAUGACGUAAGUCCAAAGAUUUAUCGCCCAAGGAUGAGCCCGCGUAGGAUUAGGUAGUUGGUGAGGUGAAGGCUCACCAAGCCGACGAUCCUUAGCUGGUCUGAGAGGAUGAUCAGCCACACUGGGACUGAGACACGGCCCAGACUCCUACGGGAGGCAGCAGUAGGGAAUAUUGGACAAUGGGCGAAAGCCUGAUCCAGCAAUGCCGCGUGAGUGAUGAAGGCCUUAGGGUUGUAAAGCUCUUUUACCCGGGAUGAUAAUGACAGUACCGGGAGAAUAAGCUCCGGCUAACUCCGUGCCAGCAGACACAGCGGUAAUACGGAGGGAGCUAGCGUUGUUCGGAAUUACUGGGCGUAAAGCGCACGUAGGCGGCUAUUCAAGUCA